UGCCUAACACAUGCAAGUCGAGCGAGAAAGCUCCUUCGGGAAUUAGUAAAGCGGCGAACGGGUGAGCAACGCGUGAGAAUCUACCCUUUAGUGAAGAAUACCCUCGAGAAAUCGAGGCUAAUACUGCAUAAGUCCCUUCGGGGAGAAAGAUGGCCUCUUUGCUAUCGCUAAAGGAUGAGCUUGCGUACUAUUAGCUAGUUGGCGGGGUAAUGGCCCACCAAGGCAAUGAUGGUUAACCGGCCUGAGAGGGUGUACGGUCACACUGUGUCUUAGACACGGUCCAGACUCCUACGGGAGGCAGCAGUGAGGAAUCUUGCGCAAUGGGCGAAAGCCUGACGCAGCUUCUCCGCGUGAAGGAUGAAGGUCUUCGGAUUGUAAAGCUC
Molecule: ribosomal RNA, 383 nt
Filed under: uncultured organism
Description: bacterial SSU rRNA
Rfam family: Bacterial small subunit ribosomal RNA
Source: RNAcentral